AACAAACAAAAAAAACCAAAAAACAACUUCACAGCAAGAAAGAUACAGAAUAUUUCCUGAGAAGUCAGAAGAACCUAAUGUAUUCUGGAAAGAAGUGCUGAAUCAGCGAAUAGAGUGAAGGAACAAUCAAGAGGAGAUGGCUGCUGAUGUGACUCUCUAGGUCAUUAUCUCUCUUCCUCCUGCAAAUGCUGCAUGGCACUAAGCUUACAGGAUCUAGAAGCAAACUACAAAUAAGAAGAAAUUCGCUCUGAAGACUAUGAAGAAACACUAGGCUGAUCUUACCAAUUUCUGAAA
This is a long non-coding RNA of Ailuropoda melanoleuca (giant panda), 294 nucleotides long. RefSeq lists it as uncharacterized. NCBI's taxonomy places the organism in Eukaryota, Metazoa, Chordata, Mammalia, Carnivora, Ursidae. The record is from RefSeq and is a predicted model, not a curated record. The transcript has 3 exons.